CAAUAGCGUAUAUUAAAGUUGUUGCGGUUAAAAAGCUCGUAGUUGGAUUUCUGCCUGAGGCAGCCGGUCCGCGCUUAGUGCGUGUAUCUGGUUUGGUUUGGGCAUCCUCUUGGGGAUCGUUGCUGUGCUUAGUUGCAUGGUGCGGAAUUCAAGACGUUUACUUUGAGGAAAUUAGAGUGGUCACGGCAAGCUAUCGCUUUGAAUACAUUAGCAUGGAGUAAUAAUAUAGGGCGUAAGCUCUAUCUUGUCGGCUGCUAGAACAUACGCAGUGAUUAGUAGGGACAAUUGGGGGCAUUCGUAUUAACGCGUCAGAGGUGGAAUUCUUAGACUGCGUUACGACGAACUACUGCGAAGGCAUCUGCCAAGGCUGUUUUCAGUGAUCAAGAACGAAAGUAUGGGGAUCGAAGACGAUUAGAUACCGU
RNAcentral lists this ribosomal RNA (422 nucleotides) under uncultured eukaryote. RNAcentral's name for it is "SSU rRNA". It matches the Rfam family "Eukaryotic small subunit ribosomal RNA", at positions 592 to 1018 of the family's 1831-position model. The record is from RNAcentral.